UAGCGGGCGAGUGAGGCGGCAAAAGCUCAAAUUUGAAAUCUGGCGCCUUCGGUGUCCGAGUUGUAAUUUGAAGAUUGUAACCUUGGGGUUGGCUCUUGUCUAUGUUUCUUGGAACAGGACGUCACAGAGGGUGAGAAUCCCGUGCGAUGAGAUGCCCAAUUCUAUGUAAGGUGCUUUCGAAGAGUCGAGUUGUUUGGGAAUGCAGCUCUAAGUGGGUGGUAAAUUCCAUCUAAAGCUAAAUAUUGGCGAGAGACCGAUAGCGAACAAGUACAGUGAUGGAAAGAUGAAAAGAACUUUGAAAAGAGAGUGAAAAAGUACGUGAAAUUGUUGAAAGGGAAGGGUUUGAGAUCAGACUCGAUAUUUUGUGAGCCUUGCCUUCGUGGCGGGGUGACCCGCAGCUUAUCGGGCCAGCAUCGGUUUGGGCGGUAGGAUAAUGGCGUAGGAAUGUGACUUUACUUCGGUGAAGUGUUAUAGCCUGCGUUGAUGCUGCCUGCCUAGACCGAGGACUGCGAUUUUAUCAAGGAUGCUGGCAUAAUGAUCCCAAACCGCCCGUCUUGAAACACGGACCAAAA
RNAcentral lists this ribosomal RNA (572 nucleotides) under Meyerozyma guilliermondii. RNAcentral's name for it is "eukaryotic LSU rRNA". It matches the Rfam family "Eukaryotic large subunit ribosomal RNA", at positions 84 to 671 of the family's 3401-position model. Lineage: Eukaryota; Fungi; Ascomycota; Pichiomycetes; Serinales; Debaryomycetaceae. The record is from RNAcentral.